This is a non-coding RNA of Arachis ipaensis, 876 nucleotides long. The record is from RefSeq and is a predicted model, not a curated record. Lineage: Eukaryota; Viridiplantae; Streptophyta; Magnoliopsida; Fabales; Fabaceae.
UUCCUCAUUCAAAACGCGGCUUAUUAUCUCCUUCAUCAUUCGAAAUCCCCUUUCUCUUCAAAGAACCUGGAAGGCCAGAACCCUAAAAGCUUCAAAGAACCCCAAUCCUCACCCCAGCACUCCGCGAAGAACCCCAGCCCUCCGAAGAACAUCGUCGGCACUCGCAAUGCCUCCGUCGUCACUCUCUCUUCUGGCACUUCCACCAUCGCUGCUCCUUCGGCGGUGAUUCUAUCUGGUGGUGACUCCCUCGUCGCACACCGUCCGUCGCAAGCCCUCUAUCGCAAGUCUCUCUGGUGGUGACUUCCUCCGAGUUCACUCGAUUGACUCGGAGCAGCCUCUGGACCCUGAAUCCAUCUUCUCCGAGAACGAUGAAGGUUCGAGCCCUAAAUUCAGGGAGCGAAGAGGGGUUCUCCACUUGUUCCGGAGCGCUCUUCUCACUCCUCGAUCCCAAGCCCUAGGUCUCGCUCUUCUCUUGUCUUCAUUCUCACCAUUCCCAAUCACCUCUCCUUUGAUGACCUCAAUCGCUGGUGCGGACCCCUCCUCCACCAUCUCCACCGCCUCCUCUUCAUCAGGGUAGGUAUAGGUGAAAUAAAGAAGAUGGCAUUUCCAGGAGCAAAUGAAUCCAUUUCAGGAGCAAGUUCACCACAGAGAAAGAUAGGAAGGGGUAAGAUUGAGAUCAAGAGGAUUGAGAACACUACAAAUCGCCAAGUAACCUUUUGCAAGCGCAGAAAUGGUCUUCUCAAGAAAGCAUAUGAGUUAUCUGUGCUUUGUGAUGCUGAGGUUGCUCUUAUAGUUUUCUCCAGCCGUGGUCGUCUUUAUGAAUAUGCUAAUAACAGAUUUUGGAUGAAUACACAACUGUUUUCUAACAUCUCAGUU